CUUGGUCAUUUAGAGGAAGUAAAAGUCGUAACAAGGUUUCCGUAGGUGAACCUGCGGAAGGAUCAUUAUUGAAUCCUUAGGAUGCUGCUGGCCUCUAGGGGCAUGUGCACUCCACCUUUCAAUCCACCUGUGAACUUAUUGUAGGCCAGAUGUAAAAAGUCUGUGUCUAUGUUUUUAAUACACCCUUAUAAAAAGUUUAUAGAAUGUCUAAUGAUAGACCUUUGAUGGUCAAAAACUUUAAUACAACUUUCAACAAUGGAUCUCUUGGUUCUCGCAUCGAUGAAGAACGCAGCGAAUUGCGAUAUGUAAUGUGAAUUGCAGAAUUCAGUGAAUCAUCGAAUCUUUGAACGCACCUUGCACCCUUUGGUAUUCCGAAGGGUAUGCCUGUUUGAGUGUCAUUAAUAUCUCAACUUCAAAAAUGUUUAUUGUUUUUGAAGCUUGGACUUUGGAGGUUUUGUUGCAGGCAAUUAACAUUGUCAGCUCCUCUUAAAUGCAUUAGCGGAACUUUGUUAAGGACCAGCUUUGGUUUGAUAAAUCCUAUCUAUGCCGUCGCUGUGGACUUUGUGUUAUGUUCAGCUUCUAAUGGUCUUUGGGCUGUCUCUUUAUUGAGGCAUACACUUUAAGCUUGACCUCAAAUCAGGUAGGACUACCCGCUGAACUUAAGCAUAUCAAUAAGCGGAGGA
This 683-nucleotide ribosomal RNA is filed under the name uncultured Ramariopsis. RNAcentral describes it as "eukaryotic LSU rRNA". The stretch from base 245 to 398 matches the Rfam family "5.8S ribosomal RNA". The record is from RNAcentral. Lineage: Eukaryota; Fungi; Basidiomycota; Agaricomycetes; Agaricales; Clavariaceae.